Molecule: small nuclear RNA, 326 nt
Filed under: Cricetulus griseus (Chinese hamster)
Lineage: Eukaryota; Metazoa; Chordata; Mammalia; Rodentia; Cricetidae
Description: 7SK RNA
Rfam family: 7SK RNA
About the family: 7SK was discovered as an abundant small nuclear RNA in the mid-70s but a possible function has only recently been suggested.
Source: Rfam by way of RNAcentral
GGAUGUGAGGGCAAUCUGGCUGUGACAUCUGUUACCCCAUGGAUCGCCAGGGUUGAUUCCGCUGAUCUGGCUGGCUAGGCGGAUGUCCCCUUCCUCCCUCACCCGCUCCAUGUGCUUCCCUCCUGAAGCUGCCCACUUGGGUUGAAGAGGACAACCUUCCAGGAAUAGAGGAGGACCAGUCUUUGGUCAAGCGUAUACGAGAGUAGCUAUGCUCCCCUGCCAGAACCUCCAAACAAGCUCUCAAGAGCCCACCAUUUACACUAUUUUUGAACUCUGUUAAAUAUGGUAAUACUGAUAUCCUUUGACACAUCAGUCAACCAGGAGAC